GACGUAGGGCGCAAGCGUUGUCCGGAAUUAUUGGGCGUAAAGAGCUCGUAGGCGGUUUGUCGCGUCGAAUGUGAAAACACGGGGCUUAACCCCGUGCCUGCUUCCGAUACGGGCAGACUAGAGGUAUGCAGGGGAGAACGGAAUUCCUGGUGUAGCGGUGAAAUGCGCAGAUAUCAGGAGGAACACCGGUGGCGAAGGCGGUUCUCUGGGCAUGUCCUGACGCUGAGGAGCGAAAGUGUGGGGAGCGAACAGG
This 253-nucleotide ribosomal RNA is filed under the name uncultured bacterium. RNAcentral's name for it is "partial 16S ribosomal RNA". It matches the Rfam family "Bacterial small subunit ribosomal RNA", at positions 524 to 776 of the family's 1533-position model. The record is from RNAcentral.